This 465-nucleotide ribosomal RNA is filed under the name Vreelandella stevensii. Its description in RNAcentral is "partial 16S ribosomal RNA". It matches the Rfam family "Bacterial small subunit ribosomal RNA", at positions 338 to 795 of the family's 1533-position model. The record is from RNAcentral. Lineage: Bacteria; Pseudomonadati; Pseudomonadota; Gammaproteobacteria; Oceanospirillales; Halomonadaceae.
CCUACGGGGGGCUGCAGUGGGGAAUAUUGGACAAUGGGGGCAACCCUGAUCCAGCCAUGCCGCGUGUGUGAAGAAGGCCCUCGGGUUGUAAAGCACUUUCAGUGAGGAAGAACGCCUGGUGGUUAAUACCCAUCAGGAAAGACAUCACUCACAGAAGAAGCACCGGCUAACUCCGUGCCAGCAGCCGCGGUAAUACGGAGGGUGCGAGCGUUAAUCGGAAUUACUGGGCGUAAAGCGCGCGUAGGUGGCUUGAUAAGCCGGUUGUGAAAGCCCCGGGCUCAACCUGGGAACGGCAUCCGGAACUGUCAAGCUAGAGUGCAGGAGAGGAAGGUAGAAUUCCCGGUGUAGCGGUGAAAUGGGUAGAGAUCGGGAGGAAUACCAGUGGCGAAGGCGGCCUUCUGGACUGACACUGACACUGAGGUGCGAAAGCGUGGGUAGCAAACAGGAUUAGAUACCCUGGUAGUC